GACAGAGGGUGCAAACGUUGUUCGGAUUUACUGGGCGUAAAGGGCGCGUAGGCGGCGUGACAAGUCACUUGUGAAAUCUCCGGGCUUAACUCGGAACGGUCAAGUGAUACUGUCGUGCUAGAGUACAGAAGGGGCAACUGGAAUUCUCGGUGUAGCGGUGAAAUGCGUAGAUAUCGAGAGGAACACCUGCGGCGAAGGCGGGUUGCUGGGCUGAUACUGACGCUGAGGCGCGAAAGCGUGGGGAGCGAACAGG
This 253-nucleotide ribosomal RNA is filed under the name uncultured bacterium. Its description in RNAcentral is "partial 16S ribosomal RNA". It matches the Rfam family "Bacterial small subunit ribosomal RNA", at positions 524 to 776 of the family's 1533-position model. The record is from RNAcentral.